UAGGGAAUCUUCGGCAAUGGACGAAAGUCUGACCGAGCAACGCCGCGUGAGUGAAGAAGGUUUUCGGAUCGUAAAACUCUGUUGUUAGAGAAGAACAAGGACGUUAGUAACUGAACGUCCCCUGACGGUAUCUAACCAGACAGCCACGGCUAACUACGUGCCAGCAGCCGCGGUAAUACGUAGGUGGCAAGCGUUGUCCGGAUUUAUUGGGCGUAAAGCGAGCGCAGGCGGUUUCUUAAGUCUGAUGUGAAAGCCCCCGGCUCAACCGGGGAGGGUCAUUGGAAACUGGGAGACUUGAGUGCAGAAGAGGGGAGUGGAAUUCCAUGUGUAGCGGUGAAAUGCGUAGAUAUAUGGAGGAACACCAGUGGCGAAGGCGGCUCUCUGGUCUGUAACUGACGCUGAGGCUCGAAAGCGUGGGGAGCAAACAGG
Molecule: ribosomal RNA, 429 nt
Filed under: Gemmatimonadota bacterium
Lineage: Bacteria; Pseudomonadati; Gemmatimonadota
Description: Gemmatimonadetes bacterium partial 16S ribosomal RNA
Rfam family: Bacterial small subunit ribosomal RNA
Source: RNAcentral